Molecule: ribosomal RNA, 253 nt
Filed under: uncultured bacterium
Lineage: Bacteria
Description: partial 16S ribosomal RNA
Rfam family: Bacterial small subunit ribosomal RNA
Source: RNAcentral
UACGAAGGGGGCUAGCGUUGUUCGAAAUUACUGGGCGUAAAGCGCACGUAGGCGGAUCUUUAAGUCAGGGGUGAAAUCCCGAGGCUCAACCUCGGAACUGCCUUUGAUACUGGGGAUAUCGAGUCCGGGAGAGGUGAGUGGAACUGCGAGUGUAGAGGUGAAAUUCGUAGAUAUCCGCAAGAACACCAGUGGCGAAGGCGGCUCACUGGCCCGGUACUGACGCUGAGGUGCGAAAGCGUGGGGAGCAAACAGG